This 505-nucleotide ribosomal RNA is filed under the name uncultured bacterium. RNAcentral's name for it is "partial 16S ribosomal RNA". It matches the Rfam family "Bacterial small subunit ribosomal RNA", at positions 28 to 507 of the family's 1533-position model. The record is from RNAcentral.
GACGAACGCUGGCGGCGUGCCUAAUACAUGCAAGUAGAACGCACAGUUUAUACCGUAGCUUGCUACACCAUAGACUGUGAGUUGCGAACGGGUGAGUAACGCGUAGGUAACCUGCCUGGUAGCGGGGGAUAACUAUUGGAAACGAAAGCUAAUACCGCAUAAUAUUCAUUAUUGCAUGAUAAUUAAUGGAAAGGUGCAAUUGCACCACUACCAGAUGGACCUGCGUUGUAUUAGCUAGUAGGUGAGGUAACGGCUCACCUAGGCGACGACACAUAGCCGACCUGGGGAGGGGGUCCGCCCAACCGGGACUGGGGACAGGCCCAGACUCCUACGGGAGGCCGCAAGAGGGGAAUGUCGGCAAUGGACGAAAGGCUGGCCGGGCAAAGCCGCGUGGGGGAAGAAGGUUCUCCGAUCGUAAAGCUCUGUUGUAAGGGAAGAACGGGUGUGAGAGUGGAAAGUUCACACUGUGACGGUAUCUUACCAGAAAGCGACGGCUAACUACGUG